Saccostrea cuccullata (small rock oyster) is the source of this 267-nucleotide long non-coding RNA. RefSeq lists it as uncharacterized. The transcript has 3 exons. Lineage: Eukaryota; Metazoa; Mollusca; Bivalvia; Ostreida; Ostreidae. The record is from RefSeq and is a predicted model, not a curated record.
AGCAGACGACAAUAAAUGCUUUUCAAUUAAUCCGUCAACAGGACAAUGGAAGACUGAGAGAUGCGAUGUGAAAUUAAGCUUUAUAUGCGAAGUAAAUUUAGGACUUUGUGAUUUUGACCGAUACUAUCCAAGAACCGGUUGUAGUGGAUCUUUGAAACAAACGGGAGAGUACAGCCUUUACGAUUGUUUAAAUGCCUGUCGUAAUAUUCCAAUUCAAUCUGAAGGUGAGGAAUGCUGGGGUGUCGGGUUCUACCAGGGAUUUACCGG